GUCAGACCCAGCAGUAAAAAAUAUGCAUAUAUUUUUUAGUGAUGCACCAAUAAGGAAAUUUCUGGUUGAUACCAGGAACACUCCACCCAAAUAAAUUUUAAAAGUAUUUACUUUUUUGUAAGAAAACAUCAACAGUCUCAGAGCACUAUAUAUUUAUAACUGUAUACAUUUUAUAUAUUUAUAACAGAGAAGGGCUGAUCAUCAAGUGUGAUAAACUCCGUAAUUUUCCGAGUAAUGUCUUGAUUUUGCACUGCCUGCACUGAAUUUUCUUUUGCUAUCAAAUGCUUGUGUUACUGACAGACUAAUAUUAUUUGGCAGUACUGUAGCCUUCUUAAUUGGAACGGAUUUGUUUUUCAUGAACUCUUCAUGACCUUUCAUGACUCCUCACUGUCUCACCUUAAGGCAGGGCUCUUCAAAUCUGGACGUCAAUUCCAAAUCCAGGCCUAGUUUUCAGUCCUCCCAUGUACUGAGUUUAAUAAUCACUGAUUCUGAUUGGCCAGAGGCUUCACACCUGGCUCACAGGUAAAGGAAGGCUGGGAAAUAAGCAGGUCUUGGACCUUGAGGACCGUGAUUUAAAUAGUUCUGCCUGAAGGUGAAGCAAUCAAAUUUGUUGUUUUGAAAUGUUUAUUAGUAGGUCCUCCUCAUGAAAUUUUAGCAGUGCAAUGUUUGUAAAAUGCAUUUACAAUGUGAUUUUUGUUAACAUUACAGUAAUUCCACCCAGCAGACAUUUUUGUCAGUUUAGUACAUGGGUGUGCAAAGUAAUAUGGGUCACCAUUUUAAAGGGGAUUACUGGCAGUAAAUAUCGGCUCAUUUUUAACCAUCGGUUGAUGGCCGAUUGUUACUGUAUCAGCCGAUACCGAUAGUGUAUAUACAAUUGGUGUAUAUUUUUUAAAGAUCUGAAAUCCUGGGAAAUUAUGAAAGAUUAUUUAGUAAAAAGACAUAGGUGUGAGAAAUCCAUUCAUCUUCCAACAGUUUACUCUACUGAGGCUUGCCGGUGGGUGGGGGGCAGCGCCCAUCCAAGGCACCACAGGGCAAAUGGCUGGGGUAACUCCCUAGAUGGGAUGCCAGUCCAUUGCAGGGCAGAUAACCACACAAUCACACACUAUAGGCUAUUUAGAAAAGCUAAUUAGCAAAAAUGUGUAUCUUUUGACUGCAGCAGGAAACAACAUGAGGAUAUCCCUCAAACUCCAUAAACACAGGGCAGAGGCAGGAUUUGUUCUGCCCCCCCCCCCCCGUGUUUUUGUUACGCUGUAGCUAGCUUUCUUCUGUUCCUCACUGCCAUCUCUGCUACCGUAACCAAAAGUCCCAGUUCAAUUCUCCAGUCGGAGUGUCACAUUGUCCAGUUCACCGUGCAGCUGGGCCGAAGUCACACAUAGACAUAUGUCUUUCAUGAUGUACAUACAGGUGUGCUGUACAUGUGGCAGAGGUGGGGACUGGAUUUGUUCUAAGUUACUUCUUUCAGAAGUCCUCACCUGGACAUAGUGUGGUGCAGGUGACCCUUUGGAAGGGUGGGCCCUCGCAGACGGCUCCACCAUUGAGUGGCGCUGGAUUGGUACAGCUGCGUGUCCUUCGCUGCCAGCCCCUCCCACAGCACAUUUUUCCACUAAAGGACCAAUCAGAUGGGGAUGCCGGGAGUAUCGCCGUGGUUACCAUAGACUAUGAUGGUGGCGGUGCUGCUACGCCGCUUGGCCACCACAUUGUGGGCCACGCAGGUGUAGUUGGCUGUGUCGGAGAGGCGGGCCUGCUUGAUGAUCAGGUCAUGGUCAACGGUUAUCAAGAAGUUGGAGUCCAGUGUUGGGUCGAUUGUGUCUUCGUUCUUCAGCCAGUCCACCUACAAGUGAAAACAAGUCCAGAUUGCAACUUAAGAAGGUAGGACGUCAGGUGUAAUGAUGGAGAGAUGACUGGUGGGGGCUGAUGAAGGUGCUGAGAAAUGAAGCGGUGAAGCAAUAGCUAUACCUCAGGAGGAGGGAUGCCCUCUGGGGGGCGACACUGCAGCAACACCUCUUGUUCCAGGCGCACCUCCCUGCCCAGUGGCUCCUGCUCAAAGUUCUUGCGCAAGACUGCAGGGGAAGGGAGAUAGUGAGUUUGGAGUAGGGGAUAUCCUGGAGGAGACACGUGAAGAACCCUGUGCACCUACAUGAGUGCACACAAGGAAGCACGUGUUGCUGAACUCACAAGCGAUGCGCACGUACGCCCGGCGGCUCUUGGUGGUGCCGGCUGAGCUCCAGGCCACGCACUGGCACCAGAAAUCUUCUAGGCCGAACAGCUCCUCCACUUGAGUCCUGGAAACGGAGAUAUCCACUUCCCGUACCACUAGGCCUGCAGGGGAAGGUGAGCUGUGCUGAGCUUGAAGCCAUGAGGGCCUCGACAUAAGCAGAGCCCUGGUUCUGCUCUCCUCACAAGUUUAGUGGUAAUGUUACAGAGAUAGGCGAUUGGCCAUUGCGUCCCUCUAUGAUGCGACGUGAGUGGAAAGCCUCCCCCCCCCCGUUUUCCACUACUAUCCAUGGCAUGGUGCUAGCUAGCGCGUCACCACCAGACGUGAUGAUUGCGGCCAACGAUUGCUCUGCCAGAACAACGUUUUUAAUUUACUGCCUCUCUUCAGGCGAAUAAUCAAAUCAGGCCUCCCUGACCUUCACUUCCUCUCUCCCCGAGAGAGACGGACAAGUUCCUGGAGCAUGUUGGCGAAUGGUUGUCUGACACCCAUAACUCCAGGCAAACUCUGAAAAUCAAUUUCAGUCAAACUAACGACGGUAGGGCACAGCAAAAACUCUAUUACAUUGGGCCCUGAAAAGACAUUUAAAAUAUCAUACACGAAGUCGCACUCAACCCAUGGCUCUCUGAACAUUGGCUAAACCACCAGGUACGCUCCAUGGUUUGAUGAGCCGUAACGCAAAAUGGGUUCUGAAAAUGGCAGCUCAGAAUCUGAGAGAAAAGGGAAGGAGGAUAUUUGAGUACACCGCAAAUGUGGACUUGCUCAGACUGGGCUGAAAAGGCAAUCCUAGGACAGCGAGUUCAACCCUGAAAGGGACAGGGCUUCAUAGGGAAUCUGGUAUCCAGGGUGGAACUACUGAACCCUGCUUCAGGAACUGCAGUCAGAGUCUUCUCACUCUUACUGCUUUUGUCUGGAGAGUGAGGUCAGACAUGGAGGAAGGAAUGUUGGGAAUGAAGAGGUCCCAGACACUCUGCCACUUGCGAGACCACACGACGUACCAAAGGUCGAAGGUCCACACACAGAGCGGGGUCAGGAAUCAGAGCCCCAUCCAGAGACAACAGCAAUGACCUCAGCAGUCAGCACCCCACCCCGUCUGGGCCCAGCCCAUCCAGGAAACGUCGCCCAGGCAGGAGCCACUCUCAUAAAUCAUGCCCCCCAGUUUACCCAGCAGAGCAAGGUGCUGCACCGUAUCAUGGUGGGCAGAAUGGUCACCUGGGGCUACCAGAGGAUUCAUGACAUCAUGGGACAAGCAGAACCUUUUGUGUUAGGCUAUCCCCCCGUGCAGCCGCAGGCUGAUUGGGGACCGGCUUUGGGGACGCCCCCAUUUUCCACGCAUGGACCGUGUUGAGCUGUGAAACAGAGCGAUGCUGAGGUGACCUUGAGAUUGAGAUUCAAUCCCCCUUCUUCACGGAUCAGCACAUUUCAUAUCUUUAAGGUGUUUAAAGUUAGAAAAAAGUAUAAUUAUUUUUACCUGUGUUGUUCAUGAGGUUUGAAAAUCAUGUAAAUGUAUGAUACAUGAAUAGUGAUAUGUUUUACUUAAUGUGUUAAAAUAUUAGCUAUGAGUAUUAUGACUAACCCAAAUGAUUGCAGGAAAAAAGUUUAAACAGGUCAACUAACAACUGGCUGUUGUGUCUUAGGAUAAUGAAAUGGUAAUUUCAAACAAAAUAUAUCCCACAAAACAUUUUGGAGUGGAAUCUGAGCUGACCUCAGGGUGGUGGUCAUUACAGGAGUACAUGGUUUGUCGUGGAGUCAUGGAGCUGACGCCACAAGGCUGGAAUGAAGGAACAGAACAGCAAAGCUAACCAAACAAAGAGAGUCUAUUAUAGAAGAAACCACAAUCAAAAUGGAAUCACAAACCCUUCAAGUAAACCACAACUGGGACAAAAACGAGCUCAAAAAUAUGUAAAAAUCACAAAGAAACACGGAAACAUAAAACCAAGAUCGAGACACCCUUCUCCAUAUUUUCCGUUCUCCAACAUUCUGCUCAUUACAACCAUCCAGCUGACCUUAUACAAAAAACCUUACCAAGCAAUUAGUCUAGCCAGGCUGGGUUUCAUUCACCUGUAGGCACAAGGCAGGCGAUCAGUCGCUUUGGAAAUGACAACGGUGCCCUAAACCAUGCUGCUGCUGUACCUCCUGCUUCCUCACAAGGUGCACACAUCAAAUUGUGACUUAAUCCACUAAUAUUAGAUGUUUGUGUACCCCAAACACUGCAUAUCCAGGGGUUCUAUGGUGUCCUACUAGGGACACACAGCACGGCGUCUGAAUUGCCACCCCCUUAAAAACAUACUUAUUUAAGAAGCUUGCAUUUCCCAUGAGGAUGAUUAAGUGCCAUUUCAUCGCUGUUGUCCCUCGGGAUAGAUAUUGACGAGAGAUUCACAUUGGCCGGCCAUUUUAAUAUCAACCAUGAACACGGCAGUGGCCUGAUUGAGAAAGGGGACUUACUGUUGACCUGGAUAAGAAAAUAUUGAUCACAAAAGGAACAAAGAGAAAAGGAUGCAAUGGGUUUACUCAACUCAAGAAAACAAAAAAAAAAAAACAGGUGAGAUUUCUUGAGGUUAUUGCUCUCUAAUUCGUAACUUGGAGUUCCUAGUCAGAAAUUUCAACUGGAACACCCCCUCAGUUCGGAAUUUCAGCUCUUGAACUUGGAGGAAUCGACACAACCCCGACCUCAGAAUUCAAGAUGGCGGCACCCUUUAUCAGCAGAAGUUAAAGCUGUAGUUUAUACUGUUUAUUAGUCCUUACGUCUUAUUUGUGGCUCAUUAAAUCAAUCAGCACACAAUACUGUCCAACAUAUCUGUGGAGGGUUUACUACAGAGUUUUAUGCACAAAGCACAGUAUAAUGUGUUAUUAACUGAUAUUGCUAAUAAUGGCUAACAAUUAACCGGGCUAAAAUUGGAUUUCAUGCUCAGUCGGAUUUUUUGUCGGAUUUAAGGUAGUCCAGGCUAAAUGUAAGCGAAUUAAGAUAAAGCCUAUUUAAACUGAGGUUCCUUAAGUCUGACAAUUUGUCCAGCUAAGCAAAAAAUCUUGCUUUUUGAAACGGGUCUCUGGUAUUGUUAAAUGAAUGUGUUUAACUCAUGUGUGAUGUCAUUCCCAGUUCCGACCUCCAAGGUAAAUGGAACACAGCAUUAAUUGCAGAAUAAAA
Paramormyrops kingsleyae is the source of this 5357-nucleotide non-coding RNA. Lineage: Eukaryota; Metazoa; Chordata; Actinopteri; Osteoglossiformes; Mormyridae. The record is from RefSeq and is a predicted model, not a curated record.